GCAAACUUGGUCAUUUAGAGGAAGUAAAAGUCGUAACAAGGUUUCCGUAGGUGAACCUGCGGAAGGAUCAUUACCGAGCGUAGUCCCCGGGUACCCCCCGGGGACGCACCUCCCACCCCCUGUGGACUAUCCUGUUGCUUUGGUAGGCCGGCCCUCCGGGGCCCCCGUGUGCCUGCCGGAGCCCCCCAAACCCGACCAACGCGUGAGCAGUCCGAGUAAUAUCAUAAUCAGAUAAAACUUUCAACAAUGGAUCUCUUGGCUCUGGCAUCGAUGAAGAACGCAGC
RNAcentral lists this unclassified non-coding RNA (284 nucleotides) under uncultured fungus. RNAcentral describes it as "partial contains small subunit ribosomal RNA, internal transcribed spacer 1, and 5.8S ribosomal RNA". The stretch from base 1 to 73 matches the Rfam family "Eukaryotic small subunit ribosomal RNA", at positions 1759 to 1831 of the family's 1831-position model. The record is from RNAcentral. Lineage: Eukaryota; Fungi.